Molecule: non-coding RNA, 71 nt
Organism: Ictidomys tridecemlineatus (thirteen-lined ground squirrel)
Lineage: Eukaryota; Metazoa; Chordata; Mammalia; Rodentia; Sciuridae
Source: Rfam
GUGGUUAUGGCUUAGUGGUAGAGCACUCCCCUAACAUGGGUGAGGCACUGGGUUCCAUCCUCAGCACCACA